RNAcentral lists this ribosomal RNA (253 nucleotides) under uncultured bacterium. Its description in RNAcentral is "partial 16S ribosomal RNA". It matches the Rfam family "Bacterial small subunit ribosomal RNA", at positions 524 to 776 of the family's 1533-position model. The record is from RNAcentral.
UACAGAGGGUGCAAGCGUUAAUCGGAAUUACUGGGCGUAAAGCGUGCGCAGGCGGUUUUGUAAGCCAGAUGUGAAAUCCCCGGGCUUAACCUGGGAAUGGCAUUUGGGACUGCAAGGCUGGAGUGCGGCAGAGGAGACUGGAAUUCCUGGUGUAGCAGUGAAAUGCGUAGAUAUCAGGAGGAACACCGAUGGCGAAGGCAGGUCUCUGGGCUGACACUGACGCUCAUGCACGAAAGCGUGGGGAGCAAACAGG